This 490-nucleotide ribosomal RNA is filed under the name uncultured bacterium. RNAcentral describes it as "partial 16S ribosomal RNA". It matches the Rfam family "Bacterial small subunit ribosomal RNA", at positions 30 to 507 of the family's 1533-position model. The record is from RNAcentral.
UGAACGCUGGCGGUCGGCCUAACACAUGCAAGUCGAACGGCAGCACAGUAAGAGCUUGCUCUUACGGGUGGCGAGUGGCGGACGGGUGAGGAAUACAUCGGAAUCUACUUUUUCGUGGGGGAUAACGUAGGGAAACUUACGCUAAUACCGCAUACGACCUACGGGUGAAAGCAGGGGAUCUUCGGACCUUGCGCGAUUGAAUGAGCCGAUGUCGGAUUAGCUAGUUGGCGGGGUAAAGGCCCACCAAGGCGCCGAUCCGUAGCUGGUCUGAGGGGAUGAUCAGCCACACUGGAACUGAGACACGGUCCAGACUCCUACGGGAGGCAGCAGUGGGGAAUAUUGGACAAUGGGCGCAAGCCUGAUCCAGCCAUACCGCGUGGGUGAAGAAGGCCUUCGGGUUGUAAAGCCCUUUUGUUGGGAAAGAAAAGCAGCAGGUUAAUACCCCGCUGUUCUGACGGUACCCAAAGAAUAAGCACCGGCUAACUUCGUG